Molecule: ribosomal RNA, 460 nt
Filed under: uncultured bacterium
Lineage: Bacteria
Description: partial 16S ribosomal RNA
Rfam family: Bacterial small subunit ribosomal RNA
Source: RNAcentral
CCUACGGGAGGCAGCAGUGAGGAAUAUUGGUCAAUGGACGCAAGUCUGAACCAGCCAUGCCGCGUGCAGGAAGACGGCUCUAUGAGUUGUAAACUGCUUUUGUACGAGGGUAAACGCAGAUACGCGUAUCUGUCUGCAAGUAUCGUACGAAUAAGGAUCGGCUAACUCCGUGCCAGCAGCCGCGGUAAUACGGAGGAUUCAAGCGUUAUCCGGAUUUAUUGGGUUUAAAGGGUGCGUAGGCGGUCGGAUAAGUUAGCGGUGAAAUCCCGAGGCUCAACUUCGGAAUUGCCUCUGAGACUGUUCGGCUAGAGAGUAGUUGCGGUAGGCGGAAUGUAUGGUGUAGCGGUGAAAUGCUUAGAGAUCAUACAGAACACCGAUUGCGAAGGCAGCUUACCAAGCUACGUCUGACGUUGAGGCACGAAAGCGUGGGGAGCAAACAGGAUUAGAUACCCUUGUAGUC